GGGUUGUGAGGUUAAGCGACUAAGCGUACACGGUGGAUGCCCUGGCAGUCAGAGGCGAUGAAGGACGUGCUAAUCUGCGAUAAGCGUCGGUAAGGUGAUAUGAACCGUUAUAACCGGCGAUUUCCGAAUGGGGAAACCCAGUGUGUUUCGACACACUAUCAUUAACUGAAUCCAUAGGUUAAUGAGGCGAACCGGGGGAACUGAAACAUCUAAGUACCCCGAGGAAAAGAAAUCAACCGAGAUUCCCCCAGUAGCGGCGAGCGAACGGGGAGCAGCCCAGAGCCUGAAUCAGUGUGUGUGUUAGUGGAAGCGUCUGGAAAGGCGCGCGAUACAGGGUGACAGCCCCGUACACAAAAAUGCACAUGCUGUGAGCUCGAUGAGUAGGGCGGGACACGUGGUAUCCUGUCUGAAUAUGGGGGGACCAUCCUCCAAGGCUAAAUACUCCUGACUGACCGAUAGUGAACCAGUACCGUGAGGGAAAGGCGAAAAGAACCCCGGCGAGGGGAGUGAAAAAGAACCUGAAACCGUGUACGUACAAGCAGUGGGAGCACGCUUAGGCGUGUGACUGCGUACCUUUUGUAUAAUGGGUCAGCGACUUAUAUUCUGUAGCAAGGUUAACCGAAUAGGGGAGCCGAAGGGAAACCGAGUCUUAACUGGGCGUUAAGUUGCAGGGUAUAGACCCGAAACCCGGUGAUCUAGCCAUGGGCAGGUUGAAGGUUGGGUAACACUAACUGGAGGACCGAACCGACUAAUGUUGAAAAAUUAGCGGAUGACUUGUGGCUGGGGGUGAAAGGCCAAUCAAACCGGGAGAUAGCUGGUUCUCCCCGAAAGCUAUUUAGGUAGCGCCUCGUGAAUUCAUCUCCGGGGGUAGAGCACUGUUUCGGCAAGGGGGUCAUCCCGACUUACCAACCCGAUGCAAACUGCGAAUACCGGAGAAUGUUAUCACGGGAGACACACGGCGGGUGCUAACGUCCGUCGUGAAGAGGGAAACAACCCAGACCGCCAGCUAAGGUCCCAAAGUCAUGGUUAAGUGGGAAACGAUGUGGGAAGGCCCAGACAGCCAGGAUGUUGGCUUAGAAGCAGCCAUCAUUUAAAGAAAGCGUAAUAGCUCACUGGUCGAGUCGGCCUGCGCGGAAGAUGUAACGGGGCUAAACCAUGCACCGAAGCUGCGGCAGCGACACUAUGUGUUGUUGGGUAGGGGAGCGUUCUGUAAGCCUGUGAAGGUGUGCUGUGAGGCAUGCUGGAGGUAUCAGAAGUGCGAAUGCUGACAUAAGUAACGAUAAAGCGGGUGAAAAGCCCGCUCGCCGGAAGACCAAGGGUUCCUGUCCAACGUUAAUCGGGGCAGGGUGAGUCGACCCCUAAGGCGAGGCCGAAAGGCGUAGUCGAUGGGAAACAGGUUAAUAUUCCUGUACUUGGUGUUACUGCGAAGGGGGGACGGAGAAGGCUAUGUUGGCCGGGCGACGGUUGUCCCGGUUUAAGCGUGUAGGCUGGUUUUCCAGGCAAAUCCGGAAAAUCAAGGCUGAGGCGUGAUGACGAGGCACUACGGUGCUGAAGCAACAAAUGCCCUGCUUCCAGGAAAAGCCUCUAAGCAUCAGGUAACAUCAAAUCGUACCCCAAACCGACACAGGUGGUCAGGUAGAGAAUACCAAGGCGCUUGAGAGAACUCGGGUGAAGGAACUAGGCAAAAUGGUGCCGUAACUUCGGGAGAAGGCACGCUGAUAUGUAGGUGAAGUCCCUUGCGGAUGGAGCUGAAAUCAGUCGAAGAUACCAGCUGGCUGCAACUGUUUAUUAAAAACACAGCACUGUGCAAACACG
This 1815-nucleotide ribosomal RNA is filed under the name Escherichia coli. RNAcentral's name for it is "partial 23S ribosomal RNA". It matches the Rfam family "Bacterial large subunit ribosomal RNA", at positions 1 to 1833 of the family's 2925-position model. Lineage: Bacteria; Pseudomonadati; Pseudomonadota; Gammaproteobacteria; Enterobacterales; Enterobacteriaceae. The record is from RNAcentral.